UACAGAGGUCCCAAGCGUUGUUCGGAUUCAUUGGGCGUAAAGGGUGCGUAGGUGGCGCCGUAAGUGGGGUGUGAAAUUUCGGAGCUUAACUCCGAAACUGCAUUCCAUACUGCGGUGCUUGAGGACUGGAGAGGAGACUGGAAUUCAUGGUGUAGCAGUGAAAUGCGUAGAGAUCAUGAGGAAGACCAGUGGCGAAGGCGGCAUCCUGGACCGGUAUUGACGCUGAGGCGCGAAAGCCAGGGGAGCAAACGGG
Molecule: ribosomal RNA, 253 nt
Filed under: uncultured bacterium
Lineage: Bacteria
Description: partial 16S ribosomal RNA
Rfam family: Bacterial small subunit ribosomal RNA
Source: RNAcentral